Molecule: ribosomal RNA, 422 nt
Filed under: uncultured bacterium
Lineage: Bacteria
Description: bacterial SSU rRNA
Rfam family: Bacterial small subunit ribosomal RNA
Source: RNAcentral
UGAGGAAUAUUGGUCAAUGGGUGCAAGCCUGAACCAGCCAUCCCGCGUGAAGGACGACUGCCCUAUGGGUUGUAAACUUCUUUUGUAUAGGGAUAAACCUACCCUCGUGAGGGUAGCUGAAGGUACUAUACGAAUAAGCACCGGCUAACUCCGUGCCAGCAGCCGCGGUAAUACGGAGGGUGCAAGCGUUAUCCGGAUUUAUUGGGUUUAAAGGGUCCGUAGGCGGACUUAUAAGUCAGUGGUGAAAGCCUGUCGCUUAACGAUAGAACGGCCAUUGAUACUGUAAGUCUUGAGUAUAUUUGAGGGAGCUGGAAUAAGUAGUGUUGCGGUGAAAUGCAUAGAUAUUACUUAGAACACCAAUUGCGAAGGCAGGUUACCAAGAUAUAACUGACGCUGAGGGACGAAAGCGUGGGGAGCGAACA